AUGUCAAGGCUUUUUAGUGGAGUACAAGCUGCGAUGGUUAUCAAUCGGGUAGAAAACAGUGAGCAAUCUCCUGAAGAUUGGAAUAGCGAUGGUGAUGGUUCAGGCUGUUCAACCGGAGUAGCUGGCACACCAUGUUUCACCUCUAGGUUAUCACUGCUCAAGGCUGGUUCAGUAAUAGCACAAUUUAAUGAAUUCAAGCAGCAGUUAGUCAGGGAAACCGGUUUCGGAGGAAUGCUAGAGUUGAAGUCAUGGCAGAAGAUUAACUUGAAAUAUAGUGCUUUUUUGAUGGAUAGAGUUGAUUUAGAUUCCUUCUCCUUGAAUCUGGAGGCACAGGGUGUGUUGGAUUUGGUUGACAGGGAUAUGAACUAUGUCUUUGGCAUCCCAUGUGGCAAUCUAACCAUUCAAGGGGAAGGCGUUGAGCCAUCUAAAGCUUGUAUUAAGUACACGCGUGUAGCAGCAUCAUUUAGCGAGAAAGGCACACACACAGCCUGGAAGCCGCUGAAUCAUUCUUGCUUGCACCCAUAUUAG
RNAcentral lists this ribosomal RNA (528 nucleotides) under Triticum aestivum (bread wheat). RNAcentral's name for it is "partial small subunit ribosomal RNA". Lineage: Eukaryota; Viridiplantae; Streptophyta; Magnoliopsida; Poales; Poaceae. The record is from RNAcentral.